This 1096-nucleotide ribosomal RNA is filed under the name Listeria booriae. RNAcentral's name for it is "partial 23S ribosomal RNA". It matches the Rfam family "Bacterial large subunit ribosomal RNA", at positions 617 to 1709 of the family's 2925-position model. The record is from RNAcentral. Lineage: Bacteria; Bacillati; Bacillota; Bacilli; Caryophanales; Listeriaceae.
GAACCGGCGAGUUACGAUUUGUUGCAAGGUUAAGCGGAAAAAGCGGAGCCGUAGCGAAAGCGAGUCUGAAUAGGGCGCAUGAGUAACAGGUCGUAGACCCGAAACCAGGUGAUCUACCCAUGUCCAGGAUGAAGGUGAGGUAAUACUCACUGGAGGUCCGAACCCACGCACGUUGAAAAGUGCGGGGAUGAGGUGUGGGUAGCGGAGAAAUUCCAAUCGAACCUGGAGAUAGCUGGUUCUCUCCGAAAUAGCUUUAGGGCUAGCCUCGAGGUAAAGAGUCGUGGAGGUAGAGCACUGUUUGGACUAGGGGCCCUUCUCGGGUUACCGAAUUCAGAUAAACUCCGAAUGCCAUGUACUUAUACUCGGGAGUCAGACUGCGAGUGAUAAGAUCCGUAGUCGAAAGGGAAACAGCCCAGACCACCAGUUAAGGUCCCAAAAUAUAUGUUAAGUGGAAAAGGAUGUGGGGUUGCAUAGACAACCAGGAUGUUGGCUUAGAAGCAGCCACCAUUGAAAGAGUGCGUAAUAGCUCACUGGUCGAGUGACCCCGCGCCGAAAAUGUACCGGGGCUAAACAUAUUACCGAAACUGUGGAUGAACCUCUUCGGAGGUUCGUGGUAGGAGAGCGUUCUAAGGGCGGUGAAGUCAGACCGGAAGGACUGGUGGAGCGCUUAGAAGUGAGAAUGCCGGUAUGAGUAGCGAAAGAAGGGUGAGAAUCCCUUCCACCGAAUAUCUAAGGUUUCCUGAGGAAGGCUCGUCCGCUCAGGGUUAGUCGGGACCUAAGCUGAGGCCGAUAGGCGUAGGCGAUGGACAACAGGUAGAUAUUCCUGUACCAGUGCUAGUUGUUUGAGCAAUGGGGUGACACAGAAGGAUAGGGAAUCGCACAGAUGGAAACGUGCGUCCAAGCAGUGAGUGUGAGAAGUAGGCAAAUCCGCUUCUCGCGAAGCAUGAGCUGUGAUGGGGAAGGAAAUUAAGUACGGAAGUUCCUGAUUUCACGCUGUCAAGAAAAGCCUCUAGUUAGAUUAGUACUGCCCGUACCGCAAACCGACACAGGUAGAUGAGGAGAGAAUCCUAAGGUGAGCGAGAGAACUCUCGUUAAG